CGCAAGGUGGCGCAGUUGGUAGCGCGCUCGGCUCAUACCCGAGAGGUCGCAGGUUCAAGUCCUGCCCUUGCAACCA
This 76-nucleotide transfer RNA is filed under the name Gallionellaceae bacterium. RNAcentral describes it as "tRNA-Met". It matches the Rfam family "tRNA". From Rfam's summary of the family: Transfer RNA (tRNA) molecules are approximately 80 nucleotides in length. Their secondary structure includes four short double-helical elements and three loops (D, anti-codon, and T loops). Lineage: Bacteria; Pseudomonadati; Pseudomonadota; Betaproteobacteria; Nitrosomonadales; Gallionellaceae. The record is from RNAcentral.